RNAcentral lists this ribosomal RNA (252 nucleotides) under uncultured bacterium. RNAcentral's name for it is "partial 16S ribosomal RNA". It matches the Rfam family "Bacterial small subunit ribosomal RNA", at positions 524 to 776 of the family's 1533-position model. The record is from RNAcentral.
UACAGAGGUCCCGAGCGUUGUUCGGAUUCACUGGGCGUAAAGGGUGCGCAGGUGGGUUGGCAAGUUUGAUGUGAAAGCCCCGGGCUUAACCCGGGAAUGGCAUUGAAUACUGCUGAUCUGGAGGAUCGGAGGGGGACUGGAAUUCUUGGUGUAGCAGUGAAAUGCGUAGAUAUCAAGAGGAACACCAGUGGCGAAGGCGAGUCCCUGGACGAUACCUGACACUGAGGCACGAAGGCCAGGGGAGCAAACGGG